This 253-nucleotide ribosomal RNA is filed under the name uncultured prokaryote. RNAcentral's name for it is "partial 16S ribosomal RNA". It matches the Rfam family "Bacterial small subunit ribosomal RNA", at positions 524 to 776 of the family's 1533-position model. The record is from RNAcentral.
UACAGAGGUCUCAAGCGUUGUUCGGAUUCAUUGGGCGUAAAGGGUGCGUAGGCGGCUUGUUAAGUCGGCUGUGAAAGCCCGGGGCUCAACCCCGGAGGGUCGGCCGAUACUGGCGAGCUAGAGUACGGGAGAGGUAGCUGGAAUUCUCGGUGUAGCGGUGAAAUGCGUAGAUAUCGGGAGGAACACCAGAGGCGAAGGCGGGCUACUGGGCCGACACUGACGCUGAUGCGCGAAAGCCAGGGUAGCAAACGGG